Molecule: ribosomal RNA, 894 nt
Filed under: Clostridioides difficile
Lineage: Bacteria; Bacillati; Bacillota; Clostridia; Peptostreptococcales; Peptostreptococcaceae
Description: partial 23S ribosomal RNA
Rfam family: Bacterial large subunit ribosomal RNA
Source: RNAcentral
ACGAAGAGGUAUCGUAAUUGAAGAGGUUUGGAAAGACCCACCACAGAAGGUAAUAGUCCUGUAUGUUAAACGAGAAGACUUCAGAUAUGAUCCAGAGUACCACGGGACACGUGAAACCCUGUGGGAAGCAGGAGGGACCACCCUCCAAGGCUAAAUACUACCUAGUGACCGAUAGCGUAUAGUACCGUGAGGGAAAGGUGAAAAGAACCCCGGGAGGGGAGUGAAAUAGAACCUGAAACCCUGCACUUACAAGCUGUGGAAGCACAUUUCUUGUGUGACCGCGUACUUUUUGUAGAACGGGCCAACGAGUUACGUUAAGUAGCAAGGUUAAGCACUUAAGGUGCGGAGCCGUAGCGAAAGCGAGUUUUAACUGAGCGUUCAGUUACUUGACGUAGACCCGAAACCGGGCGACCUACCCAUGAGCAGGAUGAAGCGAAAGUAAAAUUUCGUGGAGGUCCGAACCCACGAGCGUUGAAAAGCUCGGGGAUGACUUGUGGGUAGCGGUGAAAUUCCAAUCGAGCCCGGAGAUAGCUGGUUCUCCCCGAAAUAGCUUUAGGGCUAGCCUCAAGGUGAGAGAUACGGAGGUAGAGCACUGAAUGUCCUAGGGGGUAUUGCACCUACCGAAGACUAUCAAACUCCGAAUGCCGUCAUCUUAUACUUGGGAGUCAGACUGUGGGUGAUAAGAUUCAUAGUCGAAAGGGCAACAGCCCAGAUCGUCAGCUAAGGUCCCUAAAUGUAAGUUAAGUGGUAAAGGAUGUGGGAUUGCACAGACAACCAGGAUGUUGGCUUAGAAGCAGCCACUCAUUCAAAGAGUGCGUAAUAGCUCACUGGUCGAGUGAUCCUGCGCCGAAGAUUUCCGGGGCUAAAACUUACUACCGAAGCUACGGCAUCAGU